UGACGGUACCUGCAGAAGAAGCCCCGGCUAACUCCGUGCCAGCAGCCGCGGUAAUACGGAGGGGGCUAGCGUUGUUCGGAAUUACUGGGCGUAAAGCGCGCGUAGGCGGAUUAGUCAGUCAGAGGUGAAAUCCCAGGGCUCAACCCUGGAACUGCCUUUGAUACUGCUAGUCUUGAGUUCGAGAGAGGUGAGUGGAAUUCCGAGUGUAGAGGUGAAAUUCGUAGAUAUUCGGAGGAACACCAGUGGCGAAGGCGGCUCACUGGCUCGAUACUGACGCUGAGGUGCGAAAGUGUGGGGAGCAAACAGGAUUAGAUACCCUGGUAGUCCACGCUGUAAACGAUGAUUACUAGGUGUGGGGGGACUGACCCCUUCCGUGCCGGAGUUAACACAAUAAG
RNAcentral lists this ribosomal RNA (395 nucleotides) under Oxyrrhis marina. Its description in RNAcentral is "partial Bacterial small subunit ribosomal RNA". It matches the Rfam family "Bacterial small subunit ribosomal RNA", at positions 470 to 864 of the family's 1533-position model. Lineage: Eukaryota; Dinophyceae; Oxyrrhinales; Oxyrrhinaceae. The record is from RNAcentral.